GGGGAUUUAGCUCAGUGACAUAAGCGCCUGCCUUGCAAGCAGGUGGUCGUGAGUUCAAUCCCCA
This 64-nucleotide transfer RNA is filed under the name Cavia porcellus (domestic guinea pig). It matches the Rfam family "tRNA", at positions 1 to 62 of the family's 71-position model. From Rfam's summary of the family: Transfer RNA (tRNA) molecules are approximately 80 nucleotides in length. Lineage: Eukaryota; Metazoa; Chordata; Mammalia; Rodentia; Caviidae. The record is from Rfam by way of RNAcentral.